GACGAACGCUGGCGGCGUGCCUAAUACAUGCAAGUAGAACGCUGAAGGAGGAGCUUGCUUCUCUGGAUGAGUUGCGAACGGGUGAGUAACGCGUAGGUAACCUGCCUGGUAGCGGGGGAUAACUAUUGGAAACGAUAGCUAAUACCGCAUAAGAGUAGAUGUCGCAUGACAUUUGCUUAAAAGGUGCAAUUGCAUCACUACCAGAUGGACCUGCGUUGUAUUAGCUAGUUGGUGAGGUAACGGCUCACCAAGGCAACGAUACAUAGCCGACCUGAGAGGGUGAUCGGCCACACUGGGACUGAGACACGGCCCAGACUCCUACGGGAGGCAGCAGUAGGGAAUCUUCGGCAAUGGACGGAAGUCUGACCGAGCAACGCCGCGUGAGUGAAGAAGGUUGUCGGAUCGUAAAGCUCUGUUGUAAGAGAAGAACGAGUGUGAGAGUGGAAAGUUCACACUGUGACGGUACCUUACCAGAAAGGGACGGCUAACUACGUG
This 495-nucleotide ribosomal RNA is filed under the name uncultured bacterium. RNAcentral's name for it is "partial 16S ribosomal RNA". It matches the Rfam family "Bacterial small subunit ribosomal RNA", at positions 28 to 507 of the family's 1533-position model. The record is from RNAcentral.